CGGGGCGUAGCGCAGUUUGGUAGCGCGCAUGAAUGGGGUUCAUGAGGCCGCAAGUUCAAGUCUUGUCGCCCCGA
Transfer RNA from Clostridiales bacterium KLE1615, 74 nucleotides. It matches the Rfam family "tRNA". From Rfam's summary of the family: Transfer RNA (tRNA) molecules are approximately 80 nucleotides in length. Their secondary structure includes four short double-helical elements and three loops (D, anti-codon, and T loops). The record is from Rfam. NCBI's taxonomy places the organism in Bacteria, Bacillati, Bacillota, Clostridia, Eubacteriales.